ACUCAAAGGAAUUGACGGGCACCCGCACAAGCGGUGGAGCAUGCUGUUUAAUUCGAAAAUACGCGAAGAACCUUACCUAGGUUUGACAUCCCGGGCAAAGCUAUAGAAAUAUAGUGGAGGCUAUCCCGGUGACAGAUGGUGCAUGGUUGUCGUCAGCUCGUGUCGUGAGAUGUUUGGUUAAGUCCAACAACGAGCGCAACCCCUAUUUUCAGUUGCUAACAUUAAGUUGAGAACUCUGAAGAUACUGCCGGUGCAAGCCGGAGGAAGGUGGGGAUGAGGUCAAAUCAUCAUGCCUCUUACACCUAGGGCUACAGGCGUGCUACAAUGGCUGGUACAACGAGUCGCAACACGGUGACGUGAAGCAAAUCUCUUAAAGCCAGUCCCAGUUCGGAUUGGAGUCUGCAACUCGACUCCAUGAAGUUGGAAUCGCUAGUAAUCCCGAAUCAGAAUGUCGGGGUGAAUACGUUCUCGGGUGUUGUACACACCGCCCGU
RNAcentral lists this ribosomal RNA (492 nucleotides) under uncultured bacterium. Its description in RNAcentral is "bacterial SSU rRNA". It matches the Rfam family "Bacterial small subunit ribosomal RNA", at positions 899 to 1397 of the family's 1533-position model. The record is from RNAcentral.